GUCAACUCCCCCUCCUGAAUCAAAGAUUCAGAAAGGGCCUAUAAGAGCCCAAGUUGACCAGCCUGAGUCUUAACUGACUACGUUCGGCGGGAUGUAGAUAUCUUUGGAUGUAAUCGCCAGACCAAAGCGCUAUCGUGGCUCUGUAAAAGCGCUGUGAGGUAGGAGCGGUCAACCACAUUGCGAAACCUGCUGGACAUUGGCGAGGCGAACCUUAC
This is a non-coding RNA of 215 nucleotides. It matches the Rfam family "HNH endonuclease-associated RNA and ORF (HEARO) RNA". The record is from Rfam.